RNAcentral lists this ribosomal RNA (206 nucleotides) under Chloropicon mariensis. RNAcentral's name for it is "partial Bacterial large subunit ribosomal RNA". It matches the Rfam family "Bacterial large subunit ribosomal RNA", at positions 324 to 530 of the family's 2925-position model. The record is from RNAcentral. Lineage: Eukaryota; Viridiplantae; Chlorophyta; Chloropicophyceae; Chloropicales; Chloropicaceae.
AAUCGUGAACAGAACACUUUGGAAAAUGUGACCAUAGACGGUGAUAGUCCAGUAUGUGAAGCGAAAUGCAGCAUAGCGGUAUCCUGAGUAACGCGGGACACGAGGAAUCCUGCGCGAAUCUGCCGGGACCAUCCGGUAAGGCUAAAUACUCCUGAGAGACCGAUAGUGAACCAGUACCGUGAGGGAAAGGUGAAAAGAACCCCGGG